This 208-nucleotide ribosomal RNA is filed under the name uncultured bacterium. Its description in RNAcentral is "partial 16S ribosomal RNA". It matches the Rfam family "Bacterial small subunit ribosomal RNA", at positions 524 to 726 of the family's 1533-position model. The record is from RNAcentral.
UACGGAGGGUGCAAACGUUGCUCGGAAUCAUUGGGCGUAAAGCGCACGUAGGCGGCUCGGUUAAGUCGGAUGUGAAAGCCCCGGGCUCAACUCGGGAAGUGCAUUCGAAACUGGCGAGCUUGAAUAUGGAAGAGGGUCGCGGAAUUCCCGGGUGUGAGAGGUGAAAUUCGUAGAUAUCGGGGAAGGAACACCAGUGGCGAAGGCGGCG